Molecule: ribosomal RNA, 453 nt
Filed under: uncultured bacterium
Lineage: Bacteria
Description: bacterial SSU rRNA
Rfam family: Bacterial small subunit ribosomal RNA
Source: RNAcentral
UACGGGAGGCAGCAGUGGGGAAUAUUGCACAAUGGGCGCAAGCCUGAUGCAGCCAUGCCGCGUGUAUGAAAAAGGCUUCGGGUUGUAAAGUACUUUCAGUCGUGAGGAAGGUGUUAAGGUUAAUAACCUUAGCAAUUGACGUUAGCGACAGAAGAAGCACCGGCUAACUCCGUGCCAGCAGCCGCGGUAAUACGGAGGGUGCGAGCGUUAAUCGGAAUUACUGGGCGUAAAGGGCACGCAGGCGGUUAAUUAAGUUGGAUGUGAAAUCCCCGGGCUUAACCUGGGAAUGGCAUUCAAGACUGGUUAGCUAGAGUCUUGUAGAGGGGGUAGAAUUCCAUGUGUAGCGGUGAAAUGCGUAGAGAUGUGGAGGAAUACCGGUGGCGAAGGCGGCCCCUGGACAAAGACUGGACGCUCAUGUGCGAAAGCGUGGGGAGCAAACAGGGAUUAGAUACC